UUGAUCAUGGCUCAGAUCCAACGCGGUAGGCAGGCCUAACACAUGCAAGUCGAGCGGCAGCACAAGGGAGUUACUCCCGAGGUGGCGAGCGGCGGACGGGUGAGUAAUGCCUAGGGAUCUGCCCAGUCGAGGGGGAUAACAGUUGGAAACGACUGCUAAUACCGCAUACGCCCUACGGGGGAAAGAGGGGGACCUUCGGGCCUCUCGCGAUUGGAUGAACCUAGGUGGGAUUAGCUAGUUGGUGAGGUAAUGGCUCACCAAGGCGACGAUCCCUAGCUGUUCUGAGAGGAUGAUCAGCCACACUGGGACUGAGACACGGCCCAGACUCCUACGGGAGGCAGCACGUGGGGAAUAUUGCACAAUGGGGGAAACCCUGAUGC
RNAcentral lists this ribosomal RNA (380 nucleotides) under uncultured bacterium. RNAcentral's name for it is "bacterial SSU rRNA". It matches the Rfam family "Bacterial small subunit ribosomal RNA", at positions 13 to 389 of the family's 1533-position model. The record is from RNAcentral.